Long non-coding RNA from Phycodurus eques (leafy seadragon), 1273 nucleotides. RefSeq lists it as uncharacterized. The record is from RefSeq and is a predicted model, not a curated record. Lineage: Eukaryota; Metazoa; Chordata; Actinopteri; Syngnathiformes; Syngnathidae. The transcript is spliced from 4 exons.
CUUUGGUGGAAACUGCUACAAAAAAAACAUUCUUCUGAGCCCAAAGCUGCAAUCGUACUCUGUACUGUUCCAUCCAUUUUCCAUACCACCUUAUCCUGUUCAUGAUUGCAGGGGAAGCACGAGCCCAUCCCAGCUGACUUGGGGCAAAAAGCAGACUACACCAUGGACUCAACUGCCUGCGUCAGCAACUGUGCAGAUCGUAGGAGCCUCACCUGCCGUCUCUUUCGGCCGCUCCGCCUUCAAUGACGGUCUUGACGAAGAUACCCAGUUUCUCCAGGCCUGCGUCAGCACCAACGCCCAUCCCGAUGAUGCUGAUCCCCAAGCCAUCCUCAUCUGAACACAUGAGCUCUACGGGGAAAAGCUCAAGCUUCUCCACCCUCUUCUCCAGCUCGUACUCUGCGGACGAAGCCACAGGAUCCACUUCCUCGUUACGGCGGUCAUAGUCCUCGUUGGAGUAGGUCUUAAAUACCUGGAGAGGACGUCUCUCUCCUCCUCUGCAAUAGUCAACUGUCACUUCACAUCUCAUCCCAGGCUGCAGGAUGCCCUCGCGGCUCCCUUCAUGCAGUGCAGAGAAGAGCGCUAGCUCAGAGCUGUGCACAAUCUGUUGCCAGCAAGCGAGCUCUCGUCACAUGUACGGUGCAAAAGGCCAGCUGCAGGUGCUGACUUAAAAGGGGUGCUAGGAUGUGAAACAAGAGUGUGAGUGCAUGGCCAUGCCACUAUGGCCGAGCAGAAGUGUCAUCUUCUGGGCCGGCAACUGGUGUAUUUUUUUAAGACUCUAGAAUGAAAUACAUUGGAUAAUGUGGUUAAAGAUCCCAGCUAUAAAUUGGAAUAUUGUUCAGUAUCACGUGAUACACUGCAGCCAUUCAGUUCAUUUUUUUUUCAAAAUUGGUGAAAAAAAAGAUAUCUAAUGUGCCAUAUUGUACAAGUACCAACAAAUGACCAAAAUACACUCACUAGAUCAGUUUUUAAUAAAACGGAGGUAUCACAAAUAUUUAAGUUUACAUUUACACAGGGACGUGUUAGCAUAUACAGUAGCCCUACAGUAUAGCAUAAAGAUUCCCUUUCAUUCGUCUAUCUAUGCCAUUGAUCUACAGUAUAUUGACAGGUACAACAAUUUAAAUAUCUUCUACGACCAGCACACAUCAUUAUUUCAGCAUUCUGUACAUACGUUUUGUGACAUUUUUGUUUGGUGUGCCGUGACAUUUAAUUUUUCUAAUGUAAAAUAUGUUUUACGUUUUUGGCUCAAUAAAGCUUGGUAUACAUUGCUAUAUGC